This is a long non-coding RNA of Rosa rugosa (rugosa rose), 1194 nucleotides long. RefSeq lists it as uncharacterized. The record is from RefSeq and is a predicted model, not a curated record. The transcript has 3 exons. Lineage: Eukaryota; Viridiplantae; Streptophyta; Magnoliopsida; Rosales; Rosaceae.
AUUCCAACGUCCAAACUCUCUCUCUCUCCAUCCUCUAGUUUCAAGUCUCUGCGUCUUCAAGCAAAGAGAAGAAGAGAAGAAGAAAUCGUGAAGCCUCCUAGCCUCCAUCAUCCACCUUGAAGCCGUGAUGCCUUGCAGCCUUGCUUUCAAGAUUCAAGAGUCCAACGUCUCAAGCUCUCCAUCACCAUCUCCAUUCACGGUGUACCUUAAAUCCCCGGUUUGAACGAUCCCUAUUUACCAUAUACUAACGAUGAUAUUUUUCUGGGUUAAAUUGGAUGCUACUUUUAGCAUAUCAAAAACCAAGCAACUGAAAGGAAAGACAUUUAGAUACAUACUGUACACACUUGAUGAUUACAUCAGCACCGAAGAGUAAAUGAUGGGGAACUGCUGCAGUCGGGCCAUCACUCGUGAGGUACUAAGUAUCAUCAAGUAUAUAAGGUGUACCUUCAAUCCCCGGCUUGAACGAUCCCUACUUAUUCUAUACUAACGAUGACAUUUUACAUGAUUAAAUUGCGCGCUUGCUUUUAGCGUAUCAAUUGUUUCUCUCUUAGUGGAGGCUGUGUUGUGCUCCUUAUGUACAUUUUUCAGUUGGUCAUAACUUUGUACCUUCUUCAUGGAUCAAUCGAUGUUAUUUGUUCCUUCUUUUUCAUCAGAACAAAUUGUAUUGUUUCUCAAUAAUAUAUAGAAGAAAUUUGGUGGUGUAGUCAUGUUGUUUUCGUGCCAUUUCUCAACAGGGUACAUUACAAUUUUGGUGUUCUAGUCAUAAUUUUGUUAUCGUCUCUCAACGUUGUGCAAUUGAAAAUUGAUGUUCUAGUCAUGUCUUACUAUGCUUGAAGAGGGGCCCACGAAAAGCCAUUUGCCUUGCAUGUCUUCUUGAUGAAGCCUUGAAGCAUGGUGUUUUAAUGUUAUCACAAUCAAAGUUUUUGCUGUAUCGUCCAUUUUUGCUCUUUGUCUUUUCUGUUUUGUUGUUGUAUUUAAACAUUCUAAUAGUUUGAUUGGCUAUGCAUUUAGUAUCUAAGUCUUGAUGUUACAUCUGAGCUAUGUCAUUUGUAUCUUGGUUUAAAAUUUCAUGAAGUUUUGGAAAUCCUGGUGUGACCUUGCGUGGAAAAUUAUACUCCUUUGAUAAUAUAGUCACAUUUGUAUGAAGCUGAGGCUGUUGAUGUGGUUUUAUUGUCACCUUAGGUCUUAGCUGCA